RNAcentral lists this transfer RNA (29 nucleotides) under Stemodia trifoliata. RNAcentral's name for it is "partial tRNA-Phe". Lineage: Eukaryota; Viridiplantae; Streptophyta; Magnoliopsida; Lamiales; Plantaginaceae. The record is from RNAcentral.
GGAUGGGAUGCUACAUUGUUAAUGGUCGG